UACGUAGGGUGCGAGCGUUGUCCGGAAUUAUUGGGCGUAAAGGGCUCGUAGGCGGUUUGUCGCGUCGGGAGUGAAAACCAGGUGCUUAACACCUGGCUUGCUUUCGAUACGGGCAGACUAGAGGUAUUCAGGGGAGAACGGAAUUCCUGGUGUAGCGGUGAAAUGCGCAGAUAUCAGGAGGAACACCGAUGGCGAAGGCAGGUCUCUGGGCCGAUACUGACGCUGAGGAGCGAAAGCGUGGGGAGCGAACAGG
Molecule: ribosomal RNA, 253 nt
Filed under: uncultured bacterium
Lineage: Bacteria
Description: partial 16S ribosomal RNA
Rfam family: Bacterial small subunit ribosomal RNA
Source: RNAcentral